RNAcentral lists this ribosomal RNA (786 nucleotides) under Pseudotrichomonas buchari. RNAcentral describes it as "SSU rRNA". It matches the Rfam family "Eukaryotic small subunit ribosomal RNA", at positions 329 to 1246 of the family's 1831-position model. Lineage: Eukaryota; Parabasalia; Trichomonadida. The record is from RNAcentral.
UAGGGUCUUUACCUAGGUAGGCUAUCACGGGUAACGGGCGGUUACCGUCGGACUGCCGGAGAAGGCGCCUGAGAGAUAGCGACUAUAUCCACGGGUAGCAGCAGGCGCGAAACUUUCCCACUCGAGACAUUCGGAGGAGGUAAUGACCAGUUUCAUCCGAGGCUUAUGCCUCAUUGAAUAGGAUCACGCUUUUCUAGCGUGGUGCAAUCUAGCAGAGGGCCAGUCUGGUGCCAGCAGCUGCGGUAAUUCCAGCUCUGCGAGUUUGCUCCCAUAUUGUUGCAGUUAAAACGCCCGUAGUCUGAAUUGACCUCAUUGGUCAUAAGUUAAACACGUUCACUGUGAACAAAUCAGGACGCUUAGAGUAUGGUUCAGGAAUGACUCAGCGCAGUAUGAAGUUUUUGUUCUUUUUAAGAACAAGCUCAACGAGAGCCAUCGGGGGUAGAUCUAUUUCAUGGCGAGUGGUGGAAUACGGUGACCCAUGAGAGAGACACUAAGGCGAAGGCAUCUACCUAGAGGGUUUCUGUCGAUCAAGGGCGAGAGUAGGAGUAUCCAACCGGAUUAGAGACCCGGGUAGUUCCUACUGUAAACUAUGCCGUCAAGGGUUUGUCAUUUGUUAAUGGCAGAACCUUUUGAGAAAUCAUAGUUCUUGGGCUCUGGGGGAACUACGACCGCAAGGCUGAAACUUGAAGGAAUUGACGGAAGGGCACACCAGGGGUGGAGCCUGUGGCUUAAUUUGAAUCAACACGGGGAAACUUACCAGGACCAGAUGUUUUUUAUGACUGACAG